UGGGUUCACUAUCGUGCCACUAUGAUCUCACUGAAAUUUCACCAUGAUUUCGAAGUAAUUCUGAAUCCGCGAGGGACAGAACUCGAAUUUCGACUCGGGUGGCUUUUUAAUCGAAUGCCACAAGUUAACCAGAACCUCCGAAUGAUAACUUGUGACUUUCAAUUGGAGUUGUUGUCUUCAUUACAAUUAAUCAUGCCAUGGGUUCGUCAUUAUGGUUCUUGGUUUCAUGUUGCUCGGGCUAUUACUCGAGCAUGGAGAACCUUAAGACUUCCAAGUCGACGUGACCCACAGAGUCAUGUAUUGAAUCUAUCAUGGGCAUUACCGUUAGUAAGUUCUAAUCACUUACAGGAAGCUACCGCUAUUAUUUUUAAUUUGUUGCAAACUCUUGACGCUAACAACAACAUUGAAUUAUUUCGGCAAUACUUCCCUUAUUAAAAGAAACGAUUUAAAACGAUUAGAAAAAAAAAAAAUUUUCAAUACUUUUUAAUGCUUUUGAAUACGUUGAAUACUUUUGAAUCGCCCUUCUUAUGGGCAUUUAACAUUGCAAAUCGUUUUGAAUCGUUUCUUAUAAUCAGGGUUGCAAAAUUUUAUCGUACCACUUGCACCAGUUUUAUCAACUUGGGAUAGACCGUGGCGGAUUAACAAUAUAGCUGAAAAUUUUAACCAGAAUCUUGUUACGAGGUUGGGUGGAUAACAUCCUCCACUCUUUCAAUUUUCAACACAAUUGAAUAAAGUGAUUGAAGACGGUGAAGUGGCUUGGUUACGAUUAGAAAAUGGAUUGAAUAGGAGACCUAGACUGUCAAGACAACAACUAUCCAACGAUUAUCUUGUCGGACUACACAACGGUUUACAAGCAGGACAGCAUCCUGUACGUGAUUUUAUGGAGGCUGCUGUCGUUCGAAACCAACAUGUUCAGUUACAACUAGACUUGGCGGUCUCAAGACCUCAAAGUAUCAAAAUUAAUACACUUGAAAAAUAAAAUUAUUACCCAAGUAACACAUCCUUGAGCAAGAUUCUGGUGCCAGUGCCUUUAGCAAAACCCCUAGUCACUAGUGUCCUUUUCUACGUAUGGGACUUGCGCAAGAUCAUGUAGCAAGAAAUCGUCAUCAAGACUUGUGCGUAACUUGCUCAAGGCAUUGUACACAAGAAUAUUGAAGAUAUCUUAGAUGCGGUGCAGUUUAAAAGUUUCUGAGGCAUUACUUGCACCAGUAACUUAU
Molecule: long non-coding RNA, 1217 nt
Organism: Microplitis mediator
Lineage: Eukaryota; Metazoa; Arthropoda; Insecta; Hymenoptera; Braconidae
Exons: 4
Source: RefSeq, a predicted model, not a curated record